AAUUUCGCACAAAAUUUUGGUUCGGAAGUGAAGUUUUUCACACCGAUUAAAAGGGAAUCAGGAAACAAUAAAGUACGAAGUUAGAAAUUGGAAGUACGAACUUAGAAGUACGAAGUGAAAUACUUCUAACUUUAAAUCUCUAACCUCUAACUUUAAAAAAAGGCCUGAGCUGUUCCCGCAACUGUAAGCUAUAAAGUUUGUUGUAAAUACUUCAAAACCACUAUCUUAAUUACCAUGGGAUGGGAAGGUAAACAGCAAGACGCGAGCCAGGAGACCUGCCAAAUGACAACUAAUAAU
Molecule: non-coding RNA, 297 nt
Filed under: Salegentibacter echinorum
Lineage: Bacteria; Pseudomonadati; Bacteroidota; Flavobacteriia; Flavobacteriales; Flavobacteriaceae
Source: RNAcentral